UACGAAGGGGGCAAGCGUUGUUCGGAAUUACUGGGCGUAAAGGGCGCGCAGGCGGCCGAUCAAGUCAGAUGUGAAAUUCCCGGGCUUAACCUGGGGGCUGCAUUUGAUACGUGUGAUCUAGAGUGAGGAAGAGGGUCGUGGAAUUCCCAGUGUAGAGGUGAAAUUCGUAGAUAUUGGGAAGAACACCGGUGGCGAAGGCGGCGACCUGGACCAUAACUGACGCUGAUGCGCGAAAGCUAGGGGAGCAAACAGG
This 253-nucleotide ribosomal RNA is filed under the name uncultured bacterium. RNAcentral describes it as "partial 16S ribosomal RNA". It matches the Rfam family "Bacterial small subunit ribosomal RNA", at positions 524 to 776 of the family's 1533-position model. The record is from RNAcentral.